AGUCACUGACAUUAGAUACCCCUGUAGUCCAGGGUGUAAACGCCGCAGACUUGGUGUUGGAAAUCCUUCGAGGGUAUUCAGUGCCGGAGAGAAGUUGUUAAGUCUGCUACUUGGGGAGUACGUCCGCAAGGAUGAAACUUAAAGGAAUUGGCGGGGGAGCACCGCAACGGGAGGAGCGUGCGGUUUAAUUGGAUUCAACACCGUAAAACUCACCAGGGAAGACUGUUACAUGAAGGCCGAGAUGAAGACUCUGCUAGAUUUUCAG
RNAcentral lists this ribosomal RNA (265 nucleotides) under uncultured archaeon. RNAcentral's name for it is "partial 16S ribosomal RNA". It matches the Rfam family "Archaeal small subunit ribosomal RNA", at positions 718 to 982 of the family's 1478-position model. The record is from RNAcentral.